Xenopus tropicalis (tropical clawed frog) is the source of this 46-nucleotide non-coding RNA. The record is from Rfam. NCBI's taxonomy places the organism in Eukaryota, Metazoa, Chordata, Amphibia, Anura, Pipidae.
CCAAAGGCUCUUCUCAGAGCCACUCACAUUAUCUAAACACGGCUGU